CAGCCGCCGCGGUAAUACGUAGGUGGCAAGCGUUGUCCGGAAUUAUUGGGCGUAAAGGGCUCGCAGGCGGUUUCUUAAGUCUGAUGUGAAAGCCCCCGGCUCAACCGGGGAGGGUCAUUGGAAACUGGGAAACUUGAGUGCAGAAGAGGAGAGUGGAAUUCCACGUGUAGCGGUGAAAUGCGUAGAGAUGUGGAGGAACACCAGUGGCGAAGGCGACUCUCUGGUCUGUAACUGACGCUGAGGAGCGAAAGCGUGGGGAGCAAACAGGAUUAGAUACCCGUGUAGUCCCUGUCUCUUAUAC
Molecule: ribosomal RNA, 301 nt
Filed under: uncultured bacterium
Lineage: Bacteria
Description: partial 16S ribosomal RNA
Rfam family: Bacterial small subunit ribosomal RNA
Source: RNAcentral